This 306-nucleotide ribosomal RNA is filed under the name uncultured bacterium. RNAcentral's name for it is "partial 16S ribosomal RNA". It matches the Rfam family "Bacterial small subunit ribosomal RNA", at positions 507 to 807 of the family's 1533-position model. The record is from RNAcentral.
GACAGCAGUCGCCGCGGUAAUACGGAGGGAGCUAGCGUUGUUCGGAAUUACUGGGCGUAAAGCGCGCGUAGGCGGUUACUCAAGUCAGAGGUGAAAGCCCGGGGCUCAACCCCGGAACUGCCUUUGAAACUAGGUGACUAGAAUCUUGGAGAGGUCAGUGGAAUUCCGAGUGUAGAGGUGAAAUUCGUAGAUAUUCGGAAGAACACCAGUGGCGAAGGCGACUGACUGGACAAGUAUUGACGCUGAGGUGCGAAAGCGUGGGGAGCAAACAGGAUUAGAUACCCGCGUAGUCCCUGUCUCUUAUAC